UACGGAGGGUGCAAGCGUUGCUCGGAAUUAUUGGGCGUAAAGGGCAGGUAGGUGGUCUCGUUUGUCUAGGGUGAAAGCCUUGAGCUUAACUCAAGAAGUGCCCUAGAAACGGCGAGACUAGAGUUCUGGAGAGGGUCGUGGAAUUCCCGGUGUAGCAGUGAAAUGCGUAGAGAUCGGGAGGAACACCAGAGGCGAAGGCGGCGACCUGGACAGAUACUGACACUCAACUGCGAAAGCGUGGGGAGCAAACAGG
This 253-nucleotide ribosomal RNA is filed under the name uncultured bacterium. RNAcentral's name for it is "partial 16S ribosomal RNA". It matches the Rfam family "Bacterial small subunit ribosomal RNA", at positions 524 to 776 of the family's 1533-position model. The record is from RNAcentral.